UUAAGCUAAGAAGAGCGUAGGGAGAAUGCCUUGGCAUUAGGAGCCGAUGAAGGACGUGAUAAGCUGCGAUAAGCUGCGGGGAUCAGCAAGUAUGAAUUGAUCCGCAGAUUUCCGAAUGGAGCAAUCCGUAUGUGUAUGCACAUACAUCAUAUACUGAAUCAAAUAGGUAUAUGAGGGGAACCGCCUGAACUGAAACAUCUAAGUAGGGCGAGGAAGAGAAAUCAACCGAGAUUCUGUGAGUAGUGGCGAGCGAAAGCGGAAGAGGCUAAACCAUAGGUAGCAAUACUUAUGGGGUUUCGGACAGCAUUUAGCAUUGAUAAUUUCUAGUUGAAACGUGUGGGAAAACGUACCGAGGAGUGUGAGAGUCACGUAAGCGAAAGAGAAAGUCAGCGAGCUGUAUCCAAAGUACCGCGGGACACGUGAAACCCCGUGGGAAGAUGGGGGGACCAUCCUCCAAGCCUAAAUACUACCUAAUGACCGAUAGCGAAUAGUACUGUGAAGGAACGGUGAAAAGAACCCCGGGAGGGGAGUGAAAAAGAACCUGAAACCCUAUGCUUACAAGCACCGAGAGCACGUCAAAGUGUGAUCGGGUACCUUUUGUAGAAUGGUCCGGCGAGUUAUUGUAUGCGGCAAGGUUAAGUGCUUAAGGCACGGAGCCGAAGCGAGAGCAAGUCUGAAUAGGGCGAAAGAGUCGUAUGCAAUAGACCCGAAACCGAGUGACCUAUCCAUGUCCAGGCUGAAGUGGAGGUAAAACUCCAUGGAGGGCCGAACACACGUCCGUUGAAAAGGCCGGUGAUGAGGUGUGGAUAGCGGAGAAAUUCCAAUCGAACUCGGAUAUAGCUGGUUCUCUCCGAAAUAGCUUUAGGGCUAGCCUCGUGAAAGAUUACUGGAGGUAAAGCACUGAAUGGGCUAGGGGUCGAAAGAUUACUGAACCCUAUCAAACUAAGAAUGCCAGAUAAUUGAUUCACGGGAGUCAGACAAUGUGAGAUAAGUCUCAUUGUCAAAAGGGAAACAGCCCAGACCCACAGCUAAGGUCCCUAAACAUUGUUAAGUGGAAAAGGAUGUGGGGUUGCAUAAACAACCAGGAUGUUGGCUUAGAAGCAGCCACUCAUUAAAAGAGUGCGUAAUAGCUCACUGGUCGAGUGACCCUGCGCCGAAAAUUCAACGGGGCUAAACAAUGUACCGAAGCUUGGGAUUCUAAAGUAAUUUAGAGUGGUAGGAGAGCGUCGAAUAAGGGGUGAAGUCAGAGCGGAAGCGCUGGUGGACUUUAUUCGAGUGAGAAUGCCGGAAUGAGUAGCGAGAAUUAUGUGAGAAUCAUAAUGGCCGAAAAUCUAAGGUUUCCUGAGGAAGGUUCGUCCGCUCAGGGUAAGCCGGGGGCUAAGGCGAGGCGGAGACGCGUAGCCGAUGCACAUACGGUUGAAAUUCCGUAGCCACCGAAAGAUUUAAGUACAGGGACGCUUUAGAAGUGAUGUAGCCGGGCGAUGGUUGACCCGGUCGUAAGGGAUCGAAAAUGAGUAGAGAAGUCAUCAUGGAAAGAGACAAGAAAAGCUGUAUGAAUAUCUUAGGUGCCCGUACCGCAAACCGACACAGGUAGAUAGGAAGAAGAUUCUAAGGCCAACGGGAGAAGGGUUGUUAAGGAACUCGGCAAGUUGACCCCGUAACUUCGGAAUAAGGGGUGCUCAUGAAAGUGAGCCGCAGAGAAUAGGCCCAGGCAACUGUUUACCAAAAACACAGGUUUGUGCUAAAUCGAAAGAUGACGUAUACGAGCUGACGCCUGCCCGGUGCUGGAAGGUUAAGAGGAGAUGUGCAAGCAUUGAAUCGAAGCCCCAGUGAACGGCGGCCGUAACUAUAACGGUCCUAAGGUAGCGAAAUUCCUUGUCAGGUAAG
This 1887-nucleotide ribosomal RNA is filed under the name human gut metagenome. RNAcentral describes it as "bacterial LSU rRNA". It matches the Rfam family "Bacterial large subunit ribosomal RNA", at positions 3 to 1980 of the family's 2925-position model. The record is from RNAcentral.